Long non-coding RNA from Arabidopsis thaliana (thale cress), 495 nucleotides. RefSeq annotates it as other RNA. NCBI's taxonomy places the organism in Eukaryota, Viridiplantae, Streptophyta, Magnoliopsida, Brassicales, Brassicaceae. The transcript has a single exon. The record is from RefSeq.
AGAUUAUAAUCUCAUUGUCCAGAAACAGUAAUCACCUCAGAUCUUCUCACAGUUUGCUUUCUGAAUCUCCAUGUGAUUCACUGCAUUCACCAGUCACCACCCUUUUAUCAAUAACUUCAUAUUCCUUUCUGAGCUUAUUUUAGGCGAAUAAGCAAAUUUUCUUCACUCUGUGGCUGGUCAAAACCCAAUGUUUUUUCACCUGAAACCAGUUUUGUAAGGACUGCCCCAAAGCUAUUAACAUUUCUCUCAAGGUUCUUGUGUGUAAGUAUUCUUGAUCCAAGUAAACGAAAGUGCUUAGUACUUACUAGUGUUGUUAGUAGUUCUUUGUCUCCUCUUUAUUGCUCCAACUGAGUUAUUUAUACUCAUCCAGAGUCAGAUUAUUCCACUAGCAAUAUCAUUUCUCAUUUCUCUUAUCUCUUUUCACAAAAAGGCUCUCAAUUAGAUAAGGCCAAAGAUCUCAUCAAUCACGAGCAUCUCUGAUACGAUUGAUGUAUC